GUCAGUGUGCCAGUGCUGCUCUGGAUUGGGUAGUCAUUGUCUGAUAUCACCACUGGUAGAAGAUGUGAUGAGGGGCAAGCCUGGUUGAGAAUGGUGUAUUACCUUAUGGGGCUUGAAGCUGAAUCAGGAUCCCGUGCCAUUACCGUUCCUAUUAUUGUCCCCAACUCGAUAUCUUCAUGCACCUCAAAAAGUGUCUGCAUCAGUGGCUUUGACGCUGCCAAUGGCUGUCCCAACUGGGGAGGACUCAGGAAUGCGGAGGUGGAUGGUACCUGUCAAAGAAACAAAGAGCCACUCAGGAGCCCCACAAGCCACUACACAAGCAUUAAGUAAUGUCUGUGUCACACAAUAGCUGAUUACAUAUUUUUGUGUAUCUUUUAUUCUAGAGAUUCCCCCUUUUAAUACAGAUGGGGUGGGCAAAGUAUGAGGCAGAGAACUAUAUAUGAGAAAAAGUUUAGGUGGAAGAGUGAAAACAAAAUUGUAGAAAAACAAAAUCAUAGGAAAAUAGGAUUUAAAAGCCCUUCUAUAUUCCUAUCCCAAAGAAGGAUCAACUAUAUCUAUCUGUACUUUUCCCUAAAUUCUCCAUCCAACUAUAAGAAGCAGAUUGAAAUUUCAGUCUGCUUUCAAUUUUCAAUUGGAUUUUCAAUUGUCAGAUACAAUAUUAAAUAAAUAAAAUGAAAGGUUCUUGAAAAUCCACAAGCAGAAACUGUGCCUACACUUGUUAAAGCAGUAAUUCAUGCUUGAUUAAGACUCAUGAACACUGCAAUUUUGGUUUUGUCCUUUUUCUUCUGGCUCAGUUGCAUCUGUUUAUUGUGGUUUCAUAGUGCAGAUAAAAAACACAGGAGUAAAACUGUCCUCAUCCAGAAAUGCUGCAAUAAAUUAAAAUAAAUAUCUUACUCUACAUUUUAGUAUUCUAUGUCUUAGCCAUCCUGCUAAACUGUAAAUAAGGAUUGAGGUCUCUGAUCCCAUCCAUCAGAACAUAGGGUAGCAAAAGGUUUGUGACACAUAACACACUAAGAAUUCUCAAAAAAAAAAAAGAUUUUAAAAUGAAUACAGAUACAGCUGCCAUUACAAUGACAAAUGCUAAGUCAUCUAAGCUCUACUGAAAAACAUUUUCUUUUCUGCCCUUAUUUACGUGUUUCUAGAUUUGUUGUUUUACUUAAAUACCUCAUGAGCUAAGUAAAGUGAGUUAGAAAGACAAUUUAGAUAACAGUAAUAAAAAAGUGGAAGAGUCAAAGGCCAGUACCAUCAACAGGAAAAAUGAAUAGGCUACACAAAAGGCAGCACAUACAUACCUAGUUACAGAUAAAAAGUACAGAAAAGUUCAUAAAGGAAGUUAAUAGUUUUGUGUGAUCAGAAAGAAUCAUGGGGAAAGAGUAGUAGCAACAUGACCUUAUCAUAUAUUCAGGAAAACACAGGUGGGGAUUAUCAGUGUAUUUUAACAGAUUAUGUUCUCAGGCAACUAGAGAAUUACAGAGGGACUGUUUUGGGUUUUGAGGAGACACACUGAAAAAAAAAAAAAAAUGCCCUGUUGUUCACUAGGAAGUUUAAGAGUUUCUCUCAGUCUGCGGAACUAUUUUUUCUGUGCCAUUAUUUUGUAGUUUGCAAACCUAAAAAAAAAA
This is a long non-coding RNA of Oxyura jamaicensis (ruddy duck), 1619 nucleotides long. RefSeq lists it as uncharacterized. The transcript is spliced from 4 exons. The record is from RefSeq and is a predicted model, not a curated record. Lineage: Eukaryota; Metazoa; Chordata; Aves; Anseriformes; Anatidae.